AGUGAUAUAGCUCAGUUGGUAAAGUGCUUGCCUUGCAUGCACACGGCCUUGGGUUCAAUCCCCAGCACCACCA
This is a non-coding RNA of Ictidomys tridecemlineatus (thirteen-lined ground squirrel), 73 nucleotides long. The record is from Rfam. NCBI's taxonomy places the organism in Eukaryota, Metazoa, Chordata, Mammalia, Rodentia, Sciuridae.